Molecule: signal recognition particle RNA, 313 nt
Filed under: Thermoplasmatales archaeon
Lineage: Archaea; Methanobacteriati; Thermoplasmatota; Thermoplasmata; Thermoplasmatales
Description: signal recognition particle sRNA
Rfam family: Archaeal signal recognition particle RNA
Source: RNAcentral
GUGCGGACUAGGCCGGGGGGUUAGGCGUCCCCUGCAACCGGAAAUCGUCUCAGCCGGGGCUGAAGCCGCCGGGGCGGCGCCCUCAGCGGGUGGCGAUCCGAUGCCGGACGAUGAAGUUUCGUCCUCUGGGACCUGGGGUGAAGGGAUGGCUGGCCGGAGGGUCAGCACACCCUUCUUUAUCCCGGUCAAGGAGUUAGGCCCGGAAGGGAGCGGCUCAACCGGGAACUACAGGUGCUCAGAGGGGCGCGGAGCUGAGAAGGGUGUCGGGCAAAUCGUCAUCUGCUGGUGGCGUCCACCCGGGGCGUGUCCGUGC